Molecule: ribosomal RNA, 253 nt
Filed under: uncultured bacterium
Lineage: Bacteria
Description: partial 16S ribosomal RNA
Rfam family: Bacterial small subunit ribosomal RNA
Source: RNAcentral
UACAGAGGGUGCUAGCGUUGUUCGGAAUCACUGGGCUUAAAGGGCGCGUAGGCGGGUUUUCAAGUCUGUGGUGAAAGCCUCCAGCUUAACUGGAGAAGUGCCGUGGAUACUGGAGACCUCGAGGAGGGUAGGGGCAUCUGGAACAGCCGGUGGAGCGGUGAAAUGCGUUGAUAUCGGCUGGAACUCCGAUGGCGAAGGCAAGGUGCUGGACCCUCUCUGACGCUGAGGCGCGAAAGCCAGGGGAGCGAACGGG